GCCAUCCUGACAAAGCCCUU
Molecule: microRNA, 20 nt
Filed under: Mus musculus (house mouse)
Lineage: Eukaryota; Metazoa; Chordata; Mammalia; Rodentia; Muridae
Description: mmu-miR-7239-5p
Source: miRBase by way of RNAcentral